UACGUAGGGUGCAAGCGUUGUCCGGAAUUAUUGGGCGUAAAGGGUGCGUAGGCGGCGCGGUAAGUCGGGUGUGAAAUCUCGGGGCUUAACUCCGAAACUGCAUUCGAUACUGCCGUGCUUGAGGACUGGAGAGGAGACGUGGAAUUUACGGUGUAGCAGUGAAAUGCGUAGAGAUCGUAAGGAAGACCAGUGGCGAAGGCGGGUCUCUGGGAAUGACCUGACGCUGAGGAGCGAAAGCAUGGGGAGCGAACAGGA
This 255-nucleotide ribosomal RNA is filed under the name uncultured bacterium. RNAcentral's name for it is "partial 16S ribosomal RNA". It matches the Rfam family "Bacterial small subunit ribosomal RNA", at positions 524 to 777 of the family's 1533-position model. The record is from RNAcentral.